This 305-nucleotide long non-coding RNA is filed under the name Amborella trichopoda. Its description in RNAcentral is "long non-coding RNA (ATRI_LNC005172)". The record is from RNAcentral. Lineage: Eukaryota; Viridiplantae; Streptophyta; Magnoliopsida; Amborellales; Amborellaceae.
CUCUGUAAACUUUUAAAAAGCCUCGAUCUCCUGAAAAGCGUUAGUUUUACAGCUUUCAUUUACCUCCUCUCUCUCUUCGCCAUUCCUUCUCUCUCUAUUCGCUUCCCUUGUUACGAAAGGUAGAGGCUUCAAAGGAUUUUGAAGCCUGAUGCUUCAAACGAUAUCGACAAGCUUCUUGGUAGGUAGCGUAGUAUAACUGAGAAAAUCCUCAAUGUAACAGUCUCUCUCUCUAGAUAGUUUUGUUCUCUCUCUCUACAUAUUUUUGUUCACUUGGCCACGAACUUUAUAUCUCCAUUCAAGACCCC